GGGUUGUUCUUACCAGAUCGAAUGGCUUUCGAUGUAUAAAACUGGCGCAGCUAUUGAAAGGGACACACUCAGCCAACCUGUCUCAAGAGGGAAUCAGUCAAAAUAUGUACUGAUUGAAACUUCCAAAACCCUUUCCAUAUCCAGUAGAAAUAUCUGCAAAACGCAGAGUCGACUGUACGUUUCCGACUAUAUCAUGAACACGUGUUUAUGAAUCACUAUCAAAUAGUAAUGAUAUCAGGUGAUCAGAUGAGCAAAUCCUGACCCACCGGUGGCACCCGUCACAAACACAUGCAAGGCAAUUGCUCAUCUGAAAAAACACGGGAACGUAUGGUACAAGUCAAAAA
Molecule: long non-coding RNA, 344 nt
Organism: Haliotis rufescens (red abalone)
Lineage: Eukaryota; Metazoa; Mollusca; Gastropoda; Lepetellida; Haliotidae
Exons: 3
Source: RefSeq, a predicted model, not a curated record